CCUGCUCAGAGCGAACGCUGGCGGCAGGCCUAACACAUGCAAGUCGAACGGACCCUUCGGGGUUAGUGGCGGACGGGUGAGUAACACGUGGGAACGUGCCUUUAGGUUCGGAAUAGCUCCUGGAAACGGGUGGUAAUGCCGAAUGUGCCCUUCGGGGGAAAGAUUUAUCGCCUUUAGAGCGGCCCGCGUCUGAUUAGCUAGUUGGUGAGGUAAUGGCUCACCAAGGCGACGAUCAGUAGCUGGUCUGAGAGGAUGACCAGCCACAUUGGGACUGAGACACGGCCCAAACUCCUACGGGAGGCAGCAGUGGGGAAUCUUGCGCAAUGGGCGAAAGCCUGACGCAGCCAUGCCGCGUGAAUGAUGAAGGUCUUAGGAUUGUAAAAUUCUUUCACCGGGGACGAUAAUGACGGUA
This 412-nucleotide ribosomal RNA is filed under the name Brevundimonas sp. IIIA2-10. Its description in RNAcentral is "bacterial SSU rRNA". It matches the Rfam family "Bacterial small subunit ribosomal RNA", at positions 19 to 477 of the family's 1533-position model. Lineage: Bacteria; Pseudomonadati; Pseudomonadota; Alphaproteobacteria; Caulobacterales; Caulobacteraceae. The record is from RNAcentral.